RNAcentral lists this non-coding RNA (85 nucleotides) under Bacillus sp. (in: firmicutes). Its description in RNAcentral is "Bacillus sp. c-di-GMP sequence". It matches the Rfam family "c-di-GMP-I riboswitch aptamer". From Rfam's summary of the family: GEMM was predicted in a large-scale screen for bacterial structured RNA regulatory elements. Genes associated with GEMM are involved in a diverse array of functions, including chemotaxis regulation, signal transduction, secretion and chitin. The record is from RNAcentral. RNAcentral also lists the same sequence under 1 other name. Lineage: Bacteria; Bacillati; Bacillota; Bacilli; Caryophanales; Bacillaceae.
CGUACGAAACGGCAAAGCCAUUGAAAAAUGGUGACGCAAAACUAAAGGGGCUAAGGUUUAACGACGAUGCUUGCCAGUUACCGAA